Molecule: ribosomal RNA, 454 nt
Filed under: Michailocoris josifovi
Lineage: Eukaryota; Metazoa; Arthropoda; Insecta; Hemiptera; Miridae
Description: partial large subunit ribosomal RNA
Rfam family: Bacterial large subunit ribosomal RNA (bases 325-454)
Source: RNAcentral
GACUGUACAAAGGUAGCAUAAUCAUUUGUCUUUUAAUUGGAGACUGGAAUGAAUGGUUGGAUGAAAUAUAUACUUUCUUUAUUUUUAAUCAUGAAUUUAAUUUCUGAGUUAAAAAGCUUAGAUUUUAUUUAAGGACGAGAAGACCCUAUAGAACUUUAUAUUUUAUUUUAAGGUUUAAUUUUUGAUUAUUUAAAUGGUAUUUUAUUAUAAUAUGAAUUAUUUUGUUGGGGUGACAAAAAAAAUAUUUUAACUUUUUUUAUUUACUACAUAUAUUUAUGUUUUGUUGAUCCAGAUGUUUUGAUUAUAAGAUUAAGUUACCUUAGGGAUAACAGCGUUAUUAUUUUAAAGAGUUCAUAUCGAUAAAAUAGUUUGCGACCUCGAUGUUGGAUUAAAAUUAGUUAUGGGUGUAGGAGUUCAUUAAUAACUAGGUCUGUUCGACCUUUAAUAUUUUACA